Molecule: ribosomal RNA, 468 nt
Filed under: uncultured bacterium
Lineage: Bacteria
Description: partial 16S ribosomal RNA
Rfam family: Bacterial small subunit ribosomal RNA
Source: RNAcentral
GACGAACGCUGGCGGCGUGCUUAACACAUGCAAGUCGAACGGAAAGACCCUGCUUUUGUGGGGUGCUCGAGUGGCGAACGGGUGAGUAACACGUGAGUAACCUGCCCUUGACUUUGGGAUAACUUCAGGAAACUGGGGCUAAUACCGGAUAGGAGCUCCUGCUGCAUGGUGGGGGUUGGAAAGUUUCGGCGGUUGGGGAUGGACUCGCGGCUUAUCAGCUUGUUGGUGGGGUAGUGGCUUACCAAGGCUUUGACGGGUAGCCGGCCUGAGAGGGUGACCGGCCACAUUGGGACUGAGAUACGGCCCAGACUCCUACGGGAGGCAGCAGUGGGGAAUAUUGCACAAUGGGCGGAAGCCUGAUGCAACAACGCCGCGUGCGGGAUGACGGCCUUCGGGUUGUAAACCGCUUUCGCCUGUGACGAAGCGUGAGUGACGGUAAUGGGUAAAGAAGCACCGGCUAACUACGUG